GAUGAACGCUGGCGGCGUGCCUAAUACAUGCAAGUCGAGCGAACAGAUGAGGAGCUUGCUCCUCUGACGUUAGCGGCGGACGGGUGAGUAACACGUGGAUAACCUACCUAUAAGACUGGGAUAACUUCGGGAAACCGGAGCUAAUACCGGAUAAUAUAUUGAACCGCAUGGUUCAAUAGUGAAAGACGGUUUUGCUGUCACUUAUAGAUGGAUCCGCGCUGCAUUAGCUAGUUGGUAAGGUAACGGCUUACCAAGGCAACGAUGCGUAGCCGACCUGAGAGGGUGAUCGGCCACACUGGAACUGAGGCACAGUCCAGACUCCUACGGGAGGCAGCAGUAGGGAAUCUUCCGCAAUGGGCGAAAGCCUGACGGGGCAACGCCGCGUGAGUGAUGAGGGUCUUCGGAUCGUAAAACUCUGUUAUUGGGGAAGAACAAAUGUGUAAGUAACUAUGCACGUCUUGACGGUACCUAAUCAGAGAGACACGGCUAACUACGUG
RNAcentral lists this ribosomal RNA (497 nucleotides) under uncultured bacterium. RNAcentral describes it as "partial 16S ribosomal RNA". It matches the Rfam family "Bacterial small subunit ribosomal RNA", at positions 28 to 507 of the family's 1533-position model. The record is from RNAcentral.